GUCUCCGUGGCGCAAUUGGUUAGCGCGUCUGACUGUUAUGAUUCAUAGACUCUGGCGGCAAUUACAUCAGGAGGUUGACAGUUCAAUCCUGUCCGGGGACG
Non-coding RNA from Cronartium quercuum f. sp. fusiforme G11, 101 nucleotides. The record is from the annotation of a GenBank genome assembly. NCBI's taxonomy places the organism in Eukaryota, Fungi, Basidiomycota, Pucciniomycetes, Pucciniales, Coleosporiaceae.